CUACAGGCUGGAAUGGGCUCA
This 21-nucleotide microRNA is filed under the name Homo sapiens (human). RNAcentral's name for it is "hsa-miR-7151-3p". Lineage: Eukaryota; Metazoa; Chordata; Mammalia; Primates; Hominidae. The record is from miRBase by way of RNAcentral.